This is a long non-coding RNA of Amphiprion ocellaris (clown anemonefish), 962 nucleotides long. RefSeq lists it as uncharacterized. The transcript is spliced from 3 exons. Lineage: Eukaryota; Metazoa; Chordata; Actinopteri; Pomacentridae. The record is from RefSeq and is a predicted model, not a curated record.
AACAGCUGAACUGCCACAUUUUGUACAUGAAAUGCGUCUUGACAACAGUACAAAUUAGUGAUGGGACGAACAACACUGGUGCGUCAGCACUGUGCCGAGCACACAAGAGUGAAACCCCGUAUUGGUGCGUGUAUCGCUUUAAGAAAAAAUCAUGUGACCGAUACAGAAAGUGUGUCGAUUGGAUGUGCUGCGCCAAAUUGUGUUUAAAAGGAAACAAACUGUAUUGACAUGUAUUGUUGCUGUGUCUGUUUGACCUCACCUUGUUCAACUUCUGACUUCAUGGAUCGUUCCAAUAAGAAGAAGUUUUCCCCAGUCUGGAAUCAUUUUGAUCUUUUGACGGCAAAUAAGGUGAAGUGUCGGCUCUGCUCCACAGAGCUAUCUUACAUCAAUAAGAGCACUUCAUCAAUGCUGAGGCAUUAUAGAGCUCAGCAUGGCAAUGAAGAAUUGGCAGAUACUCGUGUGAGUACCCCAGUUCCUAACAAGCAAGCAGUGGAUGAGGCUGUGGUCAACAUGAUCAUCAAAGACUGAAAACACAUAUUUUUAGUGUUUGUUUGUAUAUUUCUGUUGCAGUUUGUCAUGUGAUAAUAAACUAACAACUAACAGAAUUAUUUCUAAAAUAUUUGUUAGGGCACAAUCUCUGGAAACCUCUGGAUAUGGAGGUUGAGGAGAACAACUCGACCUCGAAUACUACAGCUGGUUCCAUAGUUGAAGUCCAACGCUACCUGGCUGAAACCAACACACCCAGAGCACAAGAUCCGUUACAAUAUUGGAAAAAUAACCAGAAAACAUAUCCACACCUGUAUCAACUCGCACUUAAAUUUUUAUGCACACCAUCCUCAUCUGUACCCUGUGAGAGAGUUUUUUCUAAGGCAGGGGAACUGAUGUCCAAGAAGAGAAAUCGUCUUGGAGCAAAGACACUACAAAAACUUUUGUUCCUCAAUAAAAGUGUAUGAAUGAAUCCA